This 468-nucleotide ribosomal RNA is filed under the name uncultured bacterium. Its description in RNAcentral is "partial 16S ribosomal RNA". It matches the Rfam family "Bacterial small subunit ribosomal RNA", at positions 28 to 507 of the family's 1533-position model. The record is from RNAcentral.
GACGAACGCUGGCGGCGUGCUUAACACAUGCAAGUCGAACGGAAAGGCCCUGCUUUUGUGGGGUGCUCGAGUGGCGAACGGGUGGGUAACAAGUGAGUAACCUACCCUUGACUUUGGGAUAACUUCCGGAAACUGGGGCUAAUACCGGAUAGGAGCUCCUGCUGCAUGGUGGGGGUUGGAAAGUUUCGGCGGUUUGGGAUGAACUCGCGGGUUAUCAGCUUGUUGGUGGGUGAGUGGUUGACCAAGGCUUUGACGGGUAGCCGGCCUGUGAGGGUGACCGGCGCCCUGGCUACUGAGAUACGGCGCAGACUGGAACGGGAGGCAGCAGGGGGGAAUAUUGCACAAUGAGCGCAAGCGUGAUGCAGCAACGUCGCGUGCGUGAUGACGGGUUGCGGGUUGUAAACGGCUGUCGCGUGUGACGAAGCGUGAGUGACGGUAAUGGGUAAAGAAGCACCGGCUAACUACGUG